GUGAGUAUAGCUCAGUGGUAGAGCACAUGCUUAGCAUGCAUGAGGUCCUGGGUUCAAUCCCCAGUAGGUCCA
Molecule: transfer RNA, 72 nt
Filed under: Camelus bactrianus (Bactrian camel)
Lineage: Eukaryota; Metazoa; Chordata; Mammalia; Artiodactyla; Camelidae
Also listed under: 2 other names
Rfam family: tRNA
About the family: Transfer RNA (tRNA) molecules are approximately 80 nucleotides in length. Their secondary structure includes four short double-helical elements and three loops (D, anti-codon, and T loops).
Source: Rfam by way of RNAcentral